RNAcentral lists this ribosomal RNA (253 nucleotides) under uncultured bacterium. Its description in RNAcentral is "partial 16S ribosomal RNA". It matches the Rfam family "Bacterial small subunit ribosomal RNA", at positions 524 to 776 of the family's 1533-position model. The record is from RNAcentral.
UACAUAGGUCCCAAGCGUUAUUCGGAUUUAUUGGGCGUAAAGGGUGCGUAGGCGGCGCGGUAAGUCGGGUGUGAAAUCUCGGAGCUUAACUCCGAAACUGCAUUCGAUACUGCCGUGCUUGAGGACUGGAGAGGAGACUGGAAUUUACGGUGUAGCGGUGAAAUGCGUAGAUAUCGUAAGGAAGACCAGUGGCGAAGGCGGGUCUCUGGGACGGUACUGACGCUGAGACGCGAAAGCGUGGGGAGCGAACAGG